UGGGGAAUUUUGGACAAUGGGGGAAACCCUGAUCCAGCCAUCCCGCGUGUGCGAUGAAGGCCUUCGGGUUGUAAAGCACUUUUGGCAGGAAAGAAACGUCAUGGGUUAAUACCCCGUGAAACUGACGGUACCUGCAGAAUAAGCACCGGCUAACUACGUGCCAGCAGCCGCGGUAAUACGUAGGGUGCAAGCGUUAAUCGGAAUUACUGGGCGUAAAGCGUGCGCAGGCGGUUCGGAAAGAAAGAUGUGAAAUCCCAGAGCUCAACUUUGGAACUGCAUUUUUAACUAUCGAGCUAGAGUGUGUCAGAGGGAGGUGGAAUUCCGCGUGUAGCAGUGAAAUGCGUAGAUAUGCGGAGGAACACCGAUGGCGAAGGCAGCCUCCUGGGAUAACACUGACGCUCAUGCACGAAAGCGUGGGGAGCAAACAGG
RNAcentral lists this ribosomal RNA (429 nucleotides) under Acidobacteriota bacterium. RNAcentral's name for it is "Acidobacteria bacterium partial 16S ribosomal RNA". It matches the Rfam family "Bacterial small subunit ribosomal RNA", at positions 355 to 776 of the family's 1533-position model. The record is from RNAcentral. Lineage: Bacteria; Pseudomonadati; Acidobacteriota.